RNAcentral lists this transfer RNA (71 nucleotides) under Hemibarbus barbus. RNAcentral describes it as "tRNA-Trp". It matches the Rfam family "tRNA". From Rfam's summary of the family: Transfer RNA (tRNA) molecules are approximately 80 nucleotides in length. Lineage: Eukaryota; Metazoa; Chordata; Actinopteri; Cypriniformes; Gobionidae. The record is from RNAcentral. RNAcentral also lists the same sequence under 5 other names.
AGGGGCUUAGGAUAGCAUAAGACCAAGAGCCUUCAAAGCUCUAAGCAGAAGUGAAAAUCUUCUAGCCCCUG